UACGUAGGGUGCGAGCGUUAUUCGGAAUUACUGGGCGUAAAGCGUGCGCAGGCGGCCUUUUAAGUCAGAUGUGAAAGCCCCGGGCUUAACCUGGGAAUGGCAUUUGGGACUGCAAGGCUUGAGUGCGGCAGAGGAGACUGGAAUUCCUGGUGUAGCAGUGAAAUGCGUAGAUAUCAGGAGGAAUACCGAUGGCGAAGGCAGGUCUCUGGGCUGACACUGACGCUCAUGCACGAAAGCGUGGGGAGCAAACAGG
RNAcentral lists this ribosomal RNA (253 nucleotides) under uncultured bacterium. Its description in RNAcentral is "partial 16S ribosomal RNA". It matches the Rfam family "Bacterial small subunit ribosomal RNA", at positions 524 to 776 of the family's 1533-position model. The record is from RNAcentral.